This 582-nucleotide ribosomal RNA is filed under the name bacterium E-2-0-5D. RNAcentral's name for it is "bacterial SSU rRNA". It matches the Rfam family "Bacterial small subunit ribosomal RNA", at positions 373 to 942 of the family's 1533-position model. The record is from RNAcentral.
AGGGGGAACCCUGAAUCCAGCCAUGCCGCGUGUGUGAAGAAGGCCUUUUGGUUGUAAAGCACUUUAAGCGAGGAGGAGGCGCUCUAGGUUAAUACCUUAGAAGCGUGGACGUUACUCGCAGAAUAAGCACCGGCUAACUCUGUGCCAGCAGCCGCGGUAAUACAGAGGGUGCGAGCGUUAAUCGGAUUUACUGGGCGUAUAAGCGUACGUAGGCGGCUUUUUAAGUCGGAUGUGAAAUACCCCGAGCUUAACUUGGGAAUUGCAUUCGAUACUGGGAAGCUAGAGUAUGGGAGAGGAUGGUAGAAUANCCAGGUGUAGCGGUGAAAUGCGUAGAGAUCUGGAGGAAUACCGAUGGCGAAGGCAGCCAUCUGGCCUAAUACUGACGCUGAGGUACGAAAGCAUGGGGAGCAAACAGGAUUAGAUACCCUGGUAGUCCAUGCCGUAAACGAUGUCUACUAGCCGUUGGGGCCUUUGAGGCUUUAGUGGCGCAGCUAACGCGAUAAGUAGACCGCCUGGGGAGUACGGUCGCAAGACUANAACUCAAAUGAAUUGACGGGGGCCCGCACAAGCGGUGGAGCAUGU